Jatropha curcas is the source of this 1173-nucleotide non-coding RNA. The record is from RefSeq and is a predicted model, not a curated record. NCBI's taxonomy places the organism in Eukaryota, Viridiplantae, Streptophyta, Magnoliopsida, Malpighiales, Euphorbiaceae.
CACUAAAGUCAGUUUGUAUUUGAGAAAGGAAACACCAAAGUCAUGCAUGUCAGAUUGGCUGUAGAGCUAGAAAGUUAAAGAGGGAAAAAAAAAAAAGCAAAGGAGAUCUUUAACUUUAAAAAGAAAGAAAGAAGGAAAGAAAAUUGAAGAAAAUGGUGGGUAGUGGGGGCCUCGUGGUUUUUGGGUUCUCUUCUUUGAAAUGAACUCUUUUUACUCUCUACGGCCAAACAAAUAUAAAGUUUUUUUGUCUUCAUUGUUGCCAAAGUGAAACGAGGAUACUUAGUUAAAAUUCAAUCACUAGUUUCAAUAAUUUAAAAGUUCCUUUUUUUUUUUUAAUAUUUCUUAUGAGUCUAUAUAUAAGCUAAUGAUAUAUAGGUGAAGUGGUGGUGCUGGCGGUGUUGGUGGUGGUGGUGGGGGCGGUGGUGCUGAUUCAAAGGAAAAUAGGGGUAGGGAACAUUCUGCGAUUUGGCGUUUUGUGGGUUAUGUAUAUAGGCAGUGGUGGCUGUCAAAAGAUUGGAUGAGGAACAGCUCAUCUUUUUUGAUUGGAAAUUUUUUGGUUUUGUUGGGUGGAUUUGGUGGUAUGUGGGGUUCCUCCUUUUGGGUUUUGUCCUGCAGGCAAUAGGCCCCCUCUCAUGCACUGAACGAUUGUGUUCUGUUCUUUUCUGUUGUAUAGCCGUGUGCCCAUUGCCAUGCAUAUUUUGAUUCUUCUUUGGUACUUGUCCAAGUGCUAAGAGAGAGAGAGAGAGAGAGAGAGAGAGAGAGACCCUUGCUUUAGGACAUUUUUGUGCUGUUUCUACAGAGAUAUCUUCAAGGUGCUUGUAGCUUAAAUUCGAGAGCUGCAAGGGUAUUUUGAUUUGUAAAGGAUUUUGGAUUCUUGAAGCUUUGUGGACCAGAAGAAAAGGGUUUACUAGUAGUGUGUGUGAGAGAGAUCCAUUGAUAAAAAGAGAAGCAAAAACAAGAAAAAGGAGCAUAAACAAAUCAUAUAAGGACGGUGGUGUCAGUUUUGAGCAAGUGGGGUUGUCUCUCAUGUUUUAGUUUAUAUAAAUGUUUAAAGACAGUUUUUAGGCAUUGUCUCCUUUGUUAACCUUCUUAGUCCUGAGUCUUUGGACUCUGUAACCAAUUUAGGAAGCAAACUUACCUCACCUCAUCAAGAAUCAAACUGCCCCUAGUAAC